RNAcentral lists this long non-coding RNA (2690 nucleotides) under Fragaria vesca (wild strawberry). Its description in RNAcentral is "long non-coding RNA (FVES_LNC002995)". The record is from RNAcentral. Lineage: Eukaryota; Viridiplantae; Streptophyta; Magnoliopsida; Rosales; Rosaceae.
UCAACUCUAGCAACCUAAACAUGCAUAUAUCGAUUGCACCAAGAUCUAAAUAGAUAGUACCGCCACGCGGCUGCAUACCAUCUAAGUUCUUUUAAAAUGAUCUUAAGCACCGUCACGCCACAGUCGCCACUGCGAAACCUAAGACAAGCAAUCAUAGAUACACAAUCUCAAUUGAUCGGGCAUGGUUUAGAUUACAUAGAAUAUCAUUCAAUAGAGAAACAUAGGAUGAACACGAAAUUGAUAUGCUAAAUUAAAGAUGCAUACAUUGUCACAUCCCGACUUAAAUUUUUACCCUAAUUAGUAGCUUGGUAUUAAUAAGAGUUUUACCAUCUUUGUAAAUGAGUUUAUUGUUUUCAAGUCCGUAGGGGGGUUUUGAGGGACGAUUAUUUUGGAGGAAUUAUUUUCGUAGGAGAAAUAGUGGAAGAUGGUAAAAAGGGUAAAAUUUUGGUUAGUAAAAGGAUUAUUGGGUUAUGUUUUUGGGGUGUAUUUUUAUUUAGUGUUGGGUUUGAAAUGGUUGGGUUGUGGAACCGGUUUGGAAAGCCCAAACCUUAUUUUCUCUCUCUCUCUCUCUCCCCGACUCUCUCUACUCUCCCCUGAUUUUCCUUCCUCCGCCAACGUUCUCCGCCACUGCCUGCCGCCGUCCAGCCAGCUCCGACUACCGCACUAGUCCCGAUCGAACCAGCGUCUUCUCCUCUCCAUUUCUGGUUAGGUGAUCGAGCCUCUACCGCCGCCGUGUGGAGGAAAACGCCACUGGAAGUCCAGCUGCCCUUCCGCCGGAACUCCCUCCUCCGGCCGCCAUAGUCAGCGAUCCUUGGCUCAUCUUGUAGCCCUCAUCUAGGGUGGUAAUCCCGCUAAAGGUUUUGGUUCGAUUCGUGCUUGGUAAGGAGAAAUCAGUGAUUGAAACUCUAGGGUUCAAUUUACUGUUUUAAGUCGAUUACUCUAUCUAGGCUGGGAAUUGGUGUUUGUGGUAGUUAUGAAAGUUGUUUAGAUUGUUGAGAAGAUGGUUGUGUUAAAAUUUGGUGGGCAUUGGAGGUGGUCGGAAAAGGGCUGCCGGCCGCUGCUGUUAGGAAAUUUUUCAGGGUUUUAAGGUUGUUAUAUUAAGGGGAGUCUAAUAAUGUGAAGUUUGGAAGAGUUUUGGAUAGGUUUAUGAUUUUUCAAAGAUUGAAGAUUUUGUUAAUGGGGUAGAAUCCGGCCGUGGGAUUAAUAUUGUUAAGACUGUAGAAAGUUAUAAUAAGGCUGUCGGUAUUUGUGGUGAAGUAUGGACCGUAUCGAAUUAAGAAUAGCGAAGUUAGUCAAGGAUGAGCGUGUUAAAACUCACAUUUAAUUUUGCCUAUUUUUGUAUAAGUAUUAAAUUUUAGUUGGCAAUUUAAUUAUGUAUUUGGAACAGAAUGUGAGGAGCCUCGAGCAGAAGAGGCCUCAGAUCGACAUUAGGUUUAGGCCUAAUUUGUGAGUGGACUUUUGUUUUAAAUAAUAUGCAUGCUAUGGUUCAUGGUUGAACAAUUUCUUUUGUUGGAGCAUUUGAUGUCGUUUUAUUUUGACGAUUUUAUUUAUUUUGGAGAGUUACCGAAAAUGGGAUUUUUUGGUGAAUAUAAAUAUUUAUUUAUGAGGAGAGUAUGUAUAUAAAUGCUAGCUAGCCAGCCAUAUGUGUCUGUCCACCGUAAUGGCGUAGUAUAUAACCGCAUUAUGGUAUGAUGUGAGCGUUAGACGCAAGUGUAGCAGACCUAUAUGAGUGUUUAAUUCAUAUAGGGGGUAUGAGCACAUAUUUAUACACCCGUUUGUCCACUUUAAUGGAGUAGUGUAUCACCGCAUUAUGGUGUGACGUGAGCGUUAGACGCGAGUGUAGUAACCCUAUAUAAAUUACUUUAAAUCCAUAAAAUUUAUAUAGGGAGUAUGGACGUGUGUAAAUACAUACAUAUAUAUUUUUAGACCUUGAGAGGCUCAAUAUUUAUGGGUUACCAGUUUUAUCGUUUGAGGUAUGCGUUCGCUUUUCUUUGGAAAUAUAAAUUGGGAAAGCAUAAAUAUUGUUAAUUAUUUUUAUUUAUUCGUUUUAUUUUUGUCCACUCACUCUAACAUUUUCGAAUGUUUUCCCCUGGGCCCUUUGUUUUUAAAAUGUCCAGUCUGCAGAGUUCGGGUUGGUACUAGUAGGAGGCGAGGCAUAGUUACCCACAUCUCCACCACUUUUCACCAAUAGGUUACAUGUUUAACCUACCAGUGUAUUUUCUUGCUUCCUCUAGUUUUUAGUAGCGCUGAUUACCCUUGGGGAUAUUGUAUAAUAUUUUGGUGGUGUGCUAAGACUUAUGAUUACAUUUUAGAAUAUUCGAAGGAUGAAGUUUGUUAUAUUAGUUGGAUAUUUAUGUGAUGAAUUGGAGGAUGGUUUUAUUGUUAUUUGGGGGUGGUUGUGUUUGUGGGGAGUGGGUGGCUCCAAGAGUUGAGGAUGGUUGUUUCGUUUUAGAAGUGCUAUUCCGAAUUUUUCAGGUUAGGGUUGUCCAUUUUCAAGGGAAGUUAUGCCGAAUUUUUCGGUAAAUUUUCUUUCGAGGUGGACUCCGCAAGAUUUAAUUCGGGUUUCAAGAUGAAACUCGAGAUGGAUCCUGACAUACAUCAUAAACAAUCAACAGAGAAAAAUAAAUACUUCUGAAUUAAACAACUAAAAUAUUGAAUAAAAUACAUAGUUUACACUCUUUGUUCUUCGA